ACGGAAGGCAGCAGUGGGGAAUAUUGGACAAUGGGGGAAACCCUGAUCCAGCGACGCCGCGUGAGUGAAGAAGUAUUUCGGUAUGUAAAGCUCUAUCAGCAAGGAAGAAAAUGACGGUACUUGACUAAGAAGCCCCGGCUAACUACGUGCCAGCAGCCGCGGUAAUACGUAGGGGGCAAGCGUUAUCCGGAUUUACUGGGUGUAAAGGGAGCGUAGACGGUCAUGCAAGUCUGAAGUGAAAGCCCGGGGCUCAACCGCGGGAUUGCUUUGGAAACUGUAGGACUAGAGUGCAGGAGAGGUAAGUGGAAUUCCUAGUGUAGCGGUGAAAUGCGUAGAUAUUAGGAGGAACACCAGUGGCGAAGGCGGCUUACUGGACGAUAACUGACGUUGAGGCUCGAAAGCGUGGGGAGCAAACAGGAUUAGAUACCCUGGUA
Molecule: ribosomal RNA, 434 nt
Filed under: uncultured Lachnospiraceae bacterium
Lineage: Bacteria; Bacillati; Bacillota; Clostridia; Lachnospirales; Lachnospiraceae
Description: partial 16S ribosomal RNA
Rfam family: Bacterial small subunit ribosomal RNA
Source: RNAcentral